GACGAGCCACACAAACGUUAUUCGGAAUUACUGGGCUUAAAGGGUGCGUAGGCGGCGCGGAAAGUUGGGUGUGAAAGCCCUCGGCUCAACCGAGGAAUUGCGCCCAAAACUACCGUGCUUGAGGAAGAUAGAGGUGAGCGGAACUCAGGGUGGAGCGGUGAAAUGCGUUGAUAUCCUGAGGAACACCGGUGGCGAAGGCGGCAUCCUGGACCAACACUGACACUGAGGAGCGAAAGCCAGGGGAGCAAACGGG
This 253-nucleotide ribosomal RNA is filed under the name uncultured bacterium. Its description in RNAcentral is "partial 16S ribosomal RNA". It matches the Rfam family "Bacterial small subunit ribosomal RNA", at positions 524 to 776 of the family's 1533-position model. The record is from RNAcentral.